This 465-nucleotide ribosomal RNA is filed under the name uncultured bacterium. RNAcentral describes it as "partial 16S ribosomal RNA". It matches the Rfam family "Bacterial small subunit ribosomal RNA", at positions 338 to 795 of the family's 1533-position model. The record is from RNAcentral.
CCUACGGGUGGCUGCAGUGGGGAAUAUUGCGCAAUGGGCGAAAGCCUGACGCAGCGACGCCGCGUGAGGGAUGAAGGUCUUCGGAUCGUUAACCUCUGUCAGCAGGGAAGAACGGUCACUGUGCUAAUCAGCAGUGAAUUGACGGUACCUGCAAAGGAAGCACCGGCUAACUCCGUGCCAGCAGCCGCGGGAAUACGGAGGGUGGGAGCGUUAUUCGGAAUUACUGGGCGGAAAGCGCUCGUAGGCGGUAUGUCAAGUCAAGGGUGAAAUCCCCGGGCUCAAAGGUGGAACUGCCUUUGAAACUGGGAGCCUGGAGUGUGUGAGAGGUAGGUGGAAGUCGGGGUGUAGGGGUGAAAUGCGGAGAUAUCAGGAAGAACGCAGAUGGCGAAGGCAGCGAACGGGAGCUGAACUGACGCUGAGGAGCGAAAGCGUGGGUAGCGAACAGGAUUAGAGACCCGGGUAGUC